UUGUUCUCUUUGUCGAGUUUU
RNAcentral lists this non-coding RNA (21 nucleotides) under Caenorhabditis elegans. The record is from RNAcentral. Lineage: Eukaryota; Metazoa; Nematoda; Chromadorea; Rhabditida; Rhabditidae.